UGCUAGAUGGCCUGUAAGUCGCUUUAGAUAAAAGUGUCUGCUAAAUUGCAUAUU
Salmo salar (Atlantic salmon) is the source of this 54-nucleotide non-coding RNA. The record is from Rfam. Lineage: Eukaryota; Metazoa; Chordata; Actinopteri; Salmoniformes; Salmonidae.